CCGCGGGAUUCGAAUCGCAUGGCCUUGAGCCGGCGACAUAUCCAUCGAAGGUGUGCCCUAUCAUCUGUCGACUGUGGCAUAGACGCCCACAGUGGAUUUGACGGGUAACGGGGAAUCAGGGUUCGAUUCCGGAGAGGGAGCCUUAAAAACGGCUACCACAUCCAAGGAAGGCAGCAGGCACGCAAAUUACCCAAUGACCGAAGGUCGAGGUAGUGACGAAAAAUAACGAUACGGGACUCAUCCGAGGCCCCGUAAUCGGAAUGAGUACACUUUAAAACCUUUCCAACGAGGAUCUAUUGGAGGGCAAGUCUGGUGCCAGCAGCCGCGGUAAUUCCAGCUCCAAUAGCGUAUAUUAAAGUUGUUGCGGUUAAAAAGCUCGUAGUUGGAUCUCGGCGGCUAGAGGGCGGUAUGCUUCGUAGCAUUACUGCUCUAUUAGCCGUAGUUUUGCUAGAGGUUUCUGGGUGCUCUUAAUCGAGUGUCUAGGGAUGCUAGCGGGUUUACUUUGAAAAAAUUAGAGUGCUCAAAGCAGGCUAUUACGCUUGAAUAUUCGUGCAUGGAAUAAUAGGAUAGGAAGUUGUUUCUAUUUUGUUGGCUUUCGGAAAUCGACUUAAUGAUUAAUAGGGACAGUCGGGGGCAUUUGUAUUCAAACGACAGAGGUGAAAUUCUUGGACCGUUUGAAGACAAGCUACUGCGAAAGCAUUUGCCAAGAAUGUUUUCAUUAAUCAAGAACGAAAGUUAGAGGUUCGAAGGCGAUUAGAUACCGCCCUAGUUCUAACCAUAAACGAUGCCAGCUAGCGAUCUGAGGACGUUUUUUUUUGUAGACUCCCUCAGGAAGC
Molecule: ribosomal RNA, 836 nt
Filed under: uncultured eukaryote
Lineage: Eukaryota
Description: SSU rRNA
Rfam family: Eukaryotic small subunit ribosomal RNA
Source: RNAcentral